AGUAGUCAUGUGCUUAUAGUCACGCAGAAUCAAUGGAAGGAGAUUAAUUUCUGUUUGUAAGCUAUAGGGAUUUCCUGGGUUUCUUCUUCAAGGGUGUUUGGAGUUUCCGCAUGAGAGCACCCUCUGACCUUCAGCUGAUCACACAUCAUGCUUCCAAUAGCGUUUGGUUUUUCUCUCAGCUCUGUCAGUCAGAGUGGUUGAGCUCAAGCAACGUCAAAUGAAAAGCAAAUGAGAAGCGUCAUGAAGCGGGCGGGGCACACUCAAAAAAAUGAACUUUCCUUAUUGUUAGUUUUACUAUACCCAUCCUUGUUCACAUUACAUAAAACAUAUUAGUAAUUAAAUUAACACAAGUAAACUAUGUUAUUUCUACAAAAAUGUAGUGCUGUAGACUUUACUUAAUAAGGGUUUGACUGGCCAACUUAACAUUGUGGAGUAAAACGCAAAACCCUCUUAAGUUUGGAUAUUUGUGGAUACCGUAGCUGCUUACCUAGAGGUGGAGCACCAGAGCAGAACAGAAGACAAACGAACGCGGGAAGCACAUUGAGGAGGAGAAGAUGGUGGCUUUGUCAGAUUGCUGCUGAAUUCAGUCGAAUCACUACUGUCCCACUAAUUCAAACAUUUAUGUCAAAACAAGAUGGUUACACCAGCAAGCUGGCCAGCAUCUACCAUAAAAGGAGGAAUUGCAGGGUGUAAAAUUUGGAAACUGAUGGCUACCAUCGACAAGUAUGAUACCAUCUGAACUUGCAUUCUCAGAGCAUGUUCUGUGUAUCUUAAUGAAGACUAUGAAACCUCAUGUAUACAGACACAGACUUUGAAAACUCUAAGACAUGGGCAAUAUUGUCAUUGGAAUCUACAUCAUCAGACCUGAAGGUGCAGAAGCCUGUGACCCACCAUCAGAUGUUGGACUGAUUUUUGAGGGAGUAAAUGUGCUUCAGAACCUUGGCGAAGUCACCUAGGCUUGUGCUCUUUCUUUGAGAGUCAUAUACAGCUUCAAUCUCAGUUAUCCUUCAGACCUGAAAUACACUUUUGAGUUUUUCCAGAAAGUGUUGCUGGGACUUGAUGCACAUAAACUGUUACUCAUAAUACAAGUUCUUAAGAACAAACCUGUUGGUUGAAUCAGUACAUCAUUCUGGACAAAUGAAAGAAAUAAAGGAAGAAGCUUUUUUUGUGACAUUUAAA
Long non-coding RNA from Danio aesculapii, 1179 nucleotides. RefSeq lists it as uncharacterized. Lineage: Eukaryota; Metazoa; Chordata; Actinopteri; Cypriniformes; Danionidae. The record is from RefSeq and is a predicted model, not a curated record. The transcript is spliced from 4 exons.